GGGAGGGGACGUUGUGUGGGGUUGGGUGAAGUGCUUUCACCUAGUCCCGCAUGCCCUUGUAUUGGAGUGAUUUCAGUUAAAAGGCUCGUGAAACGUCACUACUUGAUGCAGUCACGGCCAGCAGCAGCUGCCUGACCCCGCCGAGGCCUUCCGUAUGGCAACAUGAUCUUAACAGCAUUUGUUUGCCAUGAGAGGCUGUGUGAUUUGGAGCCAGUCGACCUACAGUGACAGCAAAGCAGUUGUGACUCUCAUGCACUGACACCAAAAACACUUUUUUUUCCCGUCUCUCGGCCUUAGCAGGAUCAUCUGAGCCACUGCCAGUUCAGAGUGAGCUGGGCUGCUUUUCCAGGAGGACAGUUGGGGACCUGACUUUUGAGGAGAUUCUGAGGUUUACCGAAGGAGCAAACCUUACGGGGUCAGACAGUGUCUUGUGAAAUCUGAGCUCUGCUUUCUCUGUCCCUCAGUUAUUGCCUCUGUAAAAUGGGGGUGUGGACACUGUAGACAUUAAAUAGCAGUGUAUCAAGGAGGCACCAUCUGGAGCAUUUGCCCAGCCUGCAGUGAUGCCAUUUGUCUGAGAAGGUUGUAGGGAUCAUUUCUCGUUUGGAUCUCAGCCCUCUUCCCAGCUCAGCCAUCAGCCAUCUGGAAUUGUGGGAGAGGUCAGACGGCUGCAAAGCCUCUAUGUGGAAUUGGAACUAAAUAUGCAUAUUUAUCAGUGUUUAAUGGAAGACUGCAGGAUGCUUGCAGAGUCUACAGAAGGCACGGGUAAGGUAGCUCUUGGAGUCCGGGAACAAGAACUGGACAGUGGAUGCCUCAAGGGCUGAGUUGGACUGACAGAACUGUGACCAGUGUCUAGCACCUGGGAUUCUCCACUAAAGUCAGAUUCUCAGGAAAGAGUUGGAUUAGCCCAACUCCAGUCAUGUGCCACCCCUUUGCUGCCUGGGAGGGAUGGGUGGCCUGAGGGAUAGUCCCACCAAAAACACCUGGGGAGGAAGUUUCUCAAAAGAAGUAAUGUGGAGGAGCUCUUCCCAAAGGAAGGAGGGGGGAUUCUGAGAAGGCAGGAAGAACUGAGGCCAAGAGCACAAACAGAGGAUGAAGCAGAGGUCAAGGCCAUGUGACCAGAGAGAGGAGAGAACUGGAGCAAGACAUGUAUGCACACAUGGACACAUGCACACAUGGACACUCACAUAUGCACACUUACAUGUACAUACACGCACACACGAGCUAUGGAGAGUGGUUGCAUGGAUUCCUUACUGUGAUGGAUUACAUUUUCUGAAAAUGGCCACAAAAAAAAAUUUCUGGUCCCAUGUCCUCAUCUGGAACCUUACCUUGCCAUCCCCCAUCAGGAGAUGGUGUUGAGUCCUUCCCUUGAUCAGGCAGGCCUUUGUGACUGUGUGAGCUCAGGCUAAAUGGUGUUACAUGGCUGCCAAGGUUGACCUAUAAAAGGAGAUACAGCUGGUGCUGCUCUCUAGCUGUACAUGUCCCUGGAGCCCAGUCUGUGCUGCAAGCAAAGCCCAGCUCCAGCUGAGCCACCCCACAGCAACACGUGCCCAGUAGCCAGUUGUGUGAGUGGCUUGUGUGAACCAUCAUGGUCCCAGGUUGGCCUGGCUUGGAGAGAAAUGAGCCUACCCUGCCAUGCCCCAUCCAAACUGCAGAUGUGUGAGCAAAAUAAAUGAUUGUUGUCAUGCUAA
Molecule: long non-coding RNA, 1688 nt
Organism: Macaca mulatta (Rhesus monkey)
Lineage: Eukaryota; Metazoa; Chordata; Mammalia; Primates; Cercopithecidae
Source: Ensembl